This 496-nucleotide ribosomal RNA is filed under the name uncultured bacterium. RNAcentral describes it as "bacterial SSU rRNA". It matches the Rfam family "Bacterial small subunit ribosomal RNA", at positions 30 to 518 of the family's 1533-position model. The record is from RNAcentral.
UGAACGCUGGCGGCGUGCCUAAUACAUGCAAGUCGUACGAGGGAAGGUCCAGCUUGCUGGACGGAACGAGUGGCGAACGGGUGAGUAAUACGUAAGCAACCUGCCUGCAAGGACUGGGAUAACACCUGGAAACGGGCGCUAAUACCGGAUAGGUAACAAAGGGGCAUCCCUAUGUUAUUAAAGGUUAGAAACACAAGCAGAUGGGCUUACGGUGCAUUAGCUAGUUGGUGAGGUAACGGCCCACCAAGGCGAUGAUGCAUAGCCGGCCUGAGAGGGUGAACGGCCACAUUGGGACUGGGACACGGCCCAGACUCCUACGGGAGGCAGCAGUAGGGAAUUUUCGGCAAUGGACGAAAGUCUGACCGAGCAACGCCGCGUGAGUGAAGAAGGUUUUCGGAUUGUAAAGCUCUGUUGUAAGGGAAGAACAGCACGGAAAGAAUCCGUGAAUGACGGUACCUUACCAGAAAGCCACGGCUAACUACGUGCCAGCCGCUGC